CAAUGACGCUGCGGCAUGCCUUACACAUGCAAGUCGAACGGCAGCACGGGGGCAAUCCUGGUGGCGAGUGGCGAACGGGUGAGUAAUACAUCGGAACGUGUCCUGUAGUGGGGGAUAGCCCGGCGAAAGCCGGAUUAAUACCGCAUACGCUCUACGGAGGAAAGGGGGGGAUCUUAGGACCUCCCGCUACAGGGGCGGCCGAUGGCAGAUUAGCUAGUUGGUGGGGUAAAGGCCUACCAAGGCGACGAUCUGUAGCUGGUCUGAGAGGACGACCAGCCACACUGGGACUGAGACACGGCCCAGACUCCUACGGGAGGCAGCAGUGGGGAAUUUUGGACAAUGGGGGAAACCCUGAUCCAGCAAUGCCGCGUGUGUGAAGAAGGCCUUCGGGUUGUAAAGCACUUUUGUCCGGAAAGAAAACCUCUGGGUUAAUACCCCGGGGGGAUGACGGUACCGGAAGAAUAAGCACCGGCUAACUACGUGCCAGCAGCCGCGGUAAUACGUAGGGUGCAAGCGUUAAUCGGAAUUACUGGGCGUAAAGCGUGCGCAGGCGGUCCGCUAAGACAGAUGUGAAAUCCCCGGGCUUAACCUGGGAACUGCAUUUGUGACUGGCGGGCUAGAGUAUGGCAGAGGGGGGUAGAAUUCCACGUGUAGCAGUGAAAUGCGUAGAGAUGUGGAGGAAUACCGAUGGCGAAGGCAGCCCCCUGGGCCAAUACUGACGCUCAUGCACGAAAGCGUGGGGAGCAAACAGGAUUAGAUACCCUGGUAGUCCACGCCCUAAACGAUGUCAACUAGUUGUCGGGUCUUCAUUGACUUGGUAACGUAGCUAACGCGUGAAGUGACCGCCUGG
Molecule: ribosomal RNA, 850 nt
Filed under: Paraburkholderia sp.
Lineage: Bacteria; Pseudomonadati; Pseudomonadota; Betaproteobacteria; Burkholderiales; Burkholderiaceae
Description: bacterial SSU rRNA
Rfam family: Bacterial small subunit ribosomal RNA
Source: RNAcentral